Molecule: transfer RNA, 72 nt
Filed under: Clonostachys rhizophaga
Lineage: Eukaryota; Fungi; Ascomycota; Sordariomycetes; Hypocreales; Bionectriaceae
Also listed under: 1 other name
Rfam family: tRNA
About the family: Transfer RNA (tRNA) molecules are approximately 80 nucleotides in length. Their secondary structure includes four short double-helical elements and three loops (D, anti-codon, and T loops).
Source: RNAcentral
GCGAUGGUGGUGUAAUGGUCAGCAUUGGUGCCUUCCAAGCACUAGAUCGGGGUUCGAUUCCCCGCCAUCGCA